Molecule: non-coding RNA, 2383 nt
Organism: Lolium perenne
Lineage: Eukaryota; Viridiplantae; Streptophyta; Magnoliopsida; Poales; Poaceae
Source: RefSeq, a predicted model, not a curated record
AGCAAGCGAGGGAUGACCAAGCCAGAUCCACCUUCAGGUUUGUGCAGAGGCAACAGCAACACAUGUUUGCCAUUAUCAACCUGUAGAUUUGGUACUAUAUUAGUUUGAAGAUUGUGUCGGAUCCACAAGAGAGGCAAAAUAUGGAGUGGAAACUACAGUCCAGACACUGCAGGCUUUGAAAGAUUUGCAUGGAGCACAGGUCGGGAUGCUCCCGUUCAUCUUUGGUUUGUUCCGGGCGCAUCGCAGUGCCUAGCUCCACCUGUCUACCUACUUCCUCGCUGUUCUCCUGCUUGCAGGAUCCCAUCUUGAUUUCCGAUCUCAUUAGAUAAGAGUCACAUGAGGGUGAUUUGAGCAAAGAGUUGAUGUCCCUUGAUGUUGUAUGCGAUGUGCAGCUGCAGAGGUUCAGUCCAUGCAUCUUCUGCAAGGUAAAAUUGUACAUGGUAAUAUGGUGUAUAAUCCAGAUGGUGCCAUACAAGCUAUCAUUUGUAUUUGUUCAUGGGGAACCUUUUGUUGCAGAGUAUGCUCGUAUCCGACCAUCAGCUUGUGAAGGGAUCAUAAUAUAUGCCACCUCUCUAUACUGAACACGAUUGGAUUCUGAUGUAUCCUAGCAAUACUCCUCCCUGCCCUCCUCUCACUUGUUCAGGAGAAAAAGGGGAUGUAUACAAGGGCUGCUUCUUCCACCGAAUCAUCAAAGGAUUUCAUGAUUUAGGGUGGGGAUUUUGCAGGAAAACAAUGUCUGAAGAGCAUUAGUGGCCUCUGUUCAGCUUUUUCUCUUCAUCUAUUCGGCAGCCGCUGUUGGUGGACAACGGCGGCCUCAGGUGGUGCAUGGUGGGUCCUGCCAAGUCACCGACACGAUUUCUCCCACGCAGGUGACUGGCAGCUGGGCAACGCCGCGGCCAUUGAGCCGAAGGUGGCUGAGCGCCAGAGCUCCCAGCUUAGGAAGACGACGCGACGGGAUGGCGCAGCACCACGGCCUUCAGCACCCUUGCCGUUAGCAGCCUGCCCCUAUCAUAAGUCCUCUCGCGACCUGUUGGUUCUUCUGUUCCAGGACGAGAUGGUCAUCUUGCUAGGUUUCGGAGCCCUGUGGGCCUCUUCGCCGCUCGUCCUUGUCACCCUCUCUGCACCAGCAUCUCGCUUCCUUCUUGCUUCCAGUCAGGAUGGGAGGCUUCUAUUUAGGAGGCGCUCAUGGUACUAGGUCUCCAUAGACCUGGCCGUUUCAGAAUGGGAACAAGGUAAUAACGCUCCUUAUGAAAAAAAACACAUAAUAUUGCUUUGGUUCUGUUAUAGCCACAUUUGUGUUAUGGCCAAAACAUACCAUUUCUUUGUUACAAGUAAGCUUCAUUUCCACCAUAAAAAACUACUUGUUUGGUAUGAAAAUGAAACCAUGAGCAGUAUAUCUCUCGAUGGGUGAAAUUUGGCAAAUGUAGCAAUUUCCUUGGUCGUGCAAAAUUUGUUCUUGGUGCUUGUGUAAUGAUGUUUAUUAAACUAUGGGAAAGAUAAGUACAACAUUGCAUUUUUAAAGAAACUAGAUGACCCGGUGCGCCCCGGCGCACAGGCAAACACAAGACGAUGCUAUAACCAUAUGUUUUAUGAUACUUAUGUUUGUUUAGUUGUCCAAGAAUCAUUACUCUUUGAGAGCCCUUAAGCCUAUAUAGACAAUCUUUUAUAAAGAGCAUAGAAACAUAAGUUUUAGUUCACUUAUUUUUUCAAGAAUUCAAUAUGUCCCUUAAGCUUGUAUAAGCAAUCCUUUAAAACAAAAUAAAAAAAGUUCAAUGAGGAUCCCAUUGAGUGGGGUCCGGAUGAUCUCAAGACCAAUUAUCAUGAACACAUGGCUCUCGCCGCCGCUUUUGGGAUGGGAACAAGACUAGAAGUUCAAGACAAAGAGGAAGCUCAAGAUACUCUCCUCGUGACUCUCCAAGAAAUUUCUCCAAGAGCACAAGGGAGGGGCAAAGGGGGAGAACAUGCUACAAUUGCAGCGACAAAAGUCAUUUUGUUGCGGAUUGUGUCUAUGAGAGAAGGGAAGAAAAUGGUGGAAGGAUCGUCCGCAAGGACAAGUUCAAAUCCCUCUCCAAAGGAUUCUCCAAGUUCUCUGAUACGUCUCUGACGUAUCGAUAAUUUCUUAUGUUCCAUGCCACAUUAUUGAUGAUAUCUACAUGUUUUAUGCAUACUUUAUGUCAUAUUUAUGCGUUUUCCGGAACUAACCUAUUGACGAGAUGCCGAAGGGCCAGUUGCUGUUUUCUGCUGUUUUUGGUUUCAGAAAUUCUAGUAAGGAAAUAUUCUCGGAAUUGGACGAAAUCAACGCCCAGCAUCUUAGAAUCCCCGGAAGCAUCCAGAACACCCGAGAGCCGCCAGAGGGGGGCCACAGGGGCCCCAGAUGACAGGG